Molecule: ribosomal RNA, 1346 nt
Filed under: uncultured bacterium
Lineage: Bacteria
Description: partial 16S ribosomal RNA
Rfam family: Bacterial small subunit ribosomal RNA
Source: RNAcentral
GACGAACGCUGGCGGCGUGCUUAACACAUGCAAGUCGAACGGAAAGGCCCUGCUUUUGUGGGGUGCUCGAGUGGCGAACGGGUGAGUAACACGUGAGUAACCUGCCCUUGACUUUGGGAUAACUUCAGGAAACUGGGGCUAAUACCGGAUAGGAGCUCCUGCUGCAUGGUGGGGGUUGGAAAGUUUCGGCGGUUGGGGAUGGACUCGCGGCUUAUCAGCUUGUUGGUGGGGUAGUGGCUUACCAAGGCUUUGACGGGUAGCCGGCCUGAGAGGGUGACCGGCCACAUUGGGACUGAGAUACGGCCCAGACUCCUACGGGAGGCAGCAGUGGGGAAUAUUGCACAAUGGGCGGAAGCCUGAUGCAGCAACGCCGCGUGCGGGAUGACGGCCUUCGGGUUGUAAACCGCUUUCGCCUGUGACGAAGCGUGAGUGACGGUAAUGGGUAAAGAAGCACCGGCUAACUACGUGCCAGCAGCCGCGGUGAUACGUAGGGUGCGAGCGUUGUCCGGAUUUAUUGGGCGUAAAGGGCUCGUAGGUGGUUGAUCGCGUCGGAAGUGUAAUCUUGGGGCUUAACCCUGAGCGUGCUUUCGAUACGGGUUGACUUGAGGAAGGUAGGGGAGAAUGGAAUUCCUGGUGGAGCGGUGGAAUGCGCAGAUAUCAGGAGGAACACCAGUGGCGAAGGCGGUUCUCUGGGCCUUUCCUGACGCUGAGGAGCGAAAGCGUGGGGAGCGAACAGGCUUAGAUACCCUGGUAGUCCACGCUGUAAACGGUGGGUACUAGGUGUGGGGUCCAUUCCACGGGUUCCGUGCCGUAGCUAACGCUUUAAGUACCCCGCCUGGGGAGUACGGCCGCAAGGCUAAAACUCAAAGGAAUUGACGGGGCCCCGCACAAGCGGCGGAGCAUGCGGAUUAAUUCGAUGCAACGCGUAGAACCUUACCUGGGUUUGACAUGGAUCGGGAGUGCUCAGAGAUGGGUGUGCCUCUUUUGGGGUCGGUUCACAGGUGGUGCAUGCCUGUCGUCAGCUCGUGUCGUGAGAUGUUGGGUUAAGUCCCGCAACGAGCGCAACCCUUGUUCACUGUUGCCAGCACGUUAUGGUGGGGACUCAGUGGAGACCGCCGGGGUCAACUCGGAGGAAGGUGGGGAUGACGUCAAGUCAUCAUGCCCCUUAUGUCCAGGGCUUCACGCAUGCUACAAUGGCUGGUACAGAGAGUGGCGAGCCUGUGAGGGUGAGCGAAUCUCGGAAAGCCGGUCUCAGUUCGGAUUGGGGUCUGCAACUCGACCUCAUGAAGUCGUAGUCGCUAGUAAUCGCAGAUCAGCAACGCUGCGGUGAAUACGCUCCCGGGGCU